UGGGGAAUAUUGCACAAUGGGCGCAAGCCUGAUGCAGCAACGCCGCGUGAACGAUGAAGGUCUUCGGAUCGUAAAGUUCUGUUGCAGGGGAAGAUAAUGACGGUACCCUGUGAGGAAGCCCCGGCUAACUACGUGCCAGCAGCCGCGGUAAUACGUAGGGGGCUAGCGUUAUCCGGAUUUACUGGGCGUAAAGGGUGCGUAGGUGGUCUUUCAAGUCGGUGGUUAAAGGCUACGGCUCAACCGUAGUUAGCCUCCGAAACUGGAAGACUUGAGUGCAGGAGAGGAAAGUGGAAUUCCCAGUGUAGCGAUGAAAUGCGUAGAUAUUGGGAGGAACACCAGUAGCGAAGGCGGCUUUCUGGACUGCAACUGACACUGAGGCACGAAAGCGUGGGUAGCAAACAGG
This 403-nucleotide ribosomal RNA is filed under the name Verrucomicrobiota bacterium. RNAcentral describes it as "Verrucomicrobia bacterium partial 16S ribosomal RNA". It matches the Rfam family "Bacterial small subunit ribosomal RNA", at positions 355 to 776 of the family's 1533-position model. The record is from RNAcentral. Lineage: Bacteria; Pseudomonadati; Verrucomicrobiota.